This is a long non-coding RNA of Pseudopodoces humilis (Tibetan ground-tit), 681 nucleotides long. RefSeq lists it as uncharacterized. The record is from RefSeq and is a predicted model, not a curated record. Lineage: Eukaryota; Metazoa; Chordata; Aves; Passeriformes; Paridae.
UGUGCUGGAAGUCUGUAGCUGGGUGAGGAUUAUUUGCUUAUAUCAUAACAGACAGAACAAAAUUAUAGAUCUAAAUAAUUGAGAGCACUGAUUGUGAAUAUGAACAAGACCAGAUGCACUGAAUUUUGCAUGUAGCAGGCUGGGAAGCCAGUGAGAGCCUUUGGAAGGUGUUGUGAGGAUGAUUCCCACUCACCAUCUUCACCUGGUUCACCCAGCAGCCACUUCCUCGGAUUCCUGGCUCAGCCUCAACAUCCAAGUUCAAGAAACCUCUGGGGCUGAAGCUGCACCCUUGAGGACCACACCACCCAUGGAAGGCCUGCUGAAGCACUUGUGAAAACAGAUGGUGUCAAUUGUUCCUGUAAGACAAAAGACUAAAAGAAGAUGUCUGUCUGAGUUAGAUUACAUUCCAGAGAUCUGACCCUGCCACAGGGCUGGCAGAAUGACCGUGAUCCAAAAUCACAUUGUGCUUCAGUAACAGGAUUCUCCAAGAGAUACCUUUUGAAAUGGAGCCUUGUGUUGGACCAGAUGGUGGCCCUGGAUUUCCAUUGUUCCUCUUGGCUCUCUAGUGUUAUGCAGAUUUCUAUACUGCUUUAUAUUUUCUCACAGCAUUGCCUAGUAUUUACAUUCAGUUAACUCUGAUGGAGAAAAUGAAAAAGCCAAGCAUAAAGAAGCUACACAACA